Molecule: long non-coding RNA, 273 nt
Filed under: Ananas comosus (pineapple)
Lineage: Eukaryota; Viridiplantae; Streptophyta; Magnoliopsida; Poales; Bromeliaceae
Description: long non-coding RNA (ACOM_LNC000585)
Source: RNAcentral
CCCCCCCUACCAUCAGUUUAAGAGGCAUACCACACAUGACCCAAGCGAUUAACCUUUCGCCACAAAUCCAUAUUCUCGUUUCCAUUUCAUGAACCUAAAGCCUUAUAGCUUCCAUCCUAAGGUUCCUAGGUCCAUACUAUACUUUCACCUUUCACGCUCUGAUACCAUUAUAUCUGUCACACACCGCGACCACCAAUUUGGUCGGUUCGGGCACGUCAACAGACGCCGAACGGACAGCACCUUUCCUGUCCGCCCAAGGCUCCACCAAUACAU